RNAcentral lists this ribosomal RNA (427 nucleotides) under uncultured bacterium. RNAcentral describes it as "partial 16S ribosomal RNA". It matches the Rfam family "Bacterial small subunit ribosomal RNA", at positions 355 to 774 of the family's 1533-position model. The record is from RNAcentral.
UAGGGAAUCUUCCGCAAUGGACGAAAGUCUGACGGAGCAACGCCGCGUGAGUGAUGAAGGUUUUCGGAUCGUAAAACUCUGUUAUUAGGGAAGAACAAAUGCGUAAGUAACUGUGCGCAUCUUGACGGUACCUAAUCAGAAAGCCACGGCUAACUACGUGCCAGCAGCCGCGGUAAUACGUAGGUGGCAAGCGUUAUCCGGAAUUAUUGGGCGUAAAGCGCGCGUAGGCGGUUUCUUAAGUCUGAUGUGAAAGCCCACUGCUCAACCGUGGAGGGUCAUUGGAAACUGGGAAACUUGAGUACAGAAGAGGAAAGUGGAAUUCCAUGUGUAGCGGUGAAAUGCGCAGAGAUAUGGAGGAACACCAGUGGCGAAGGCGACUUUCUGGUCUGUAACUGACGCUGAUGUGCGAAAGCGUGGGGAUCAAACA